CCUCUCAACGUGCGCUCCUCUUAACGUGCGUCUGCACAGCUGCUUGUGUGGCACAGCUGCUUGUGUGUUCUUCCGCCAAUGUGUGCAACUGCUUGUGUGUUCUUCCGCCAAUGUGUUCCUCUCGACGUCCAGCCACUUCUGUGCCUGCCUGCCUGUCUUGGGGUUUUUACAGGCACAGGAUAGGGGACGUGGCAGGCCAGGUGGUCUUGGAAAAUGCAAACUUGGGCAUGAAAACAGGAGCGCUUGUCCUCCCCUAUAUGCGUGUGCACAGGACCUGAGGUGAAGCCCUAGCCAGGGACCUGCCCUUCUCUACCCAGCGCUUUCCUUCUCUCAUCCCGAGUCAGUACUGUGAGUAUUAGAAAACAAAAAUUUGUUUUGUUUAAAACUCUAUAAAAUAACAAUAUUACAGUCUCUAUUAAAGCAGUGCAAAGUAUUCUCUUCUGUUUGUCAUUGGACACAGUCCAUUUUUAGCAGGCUGGAGGAUUUUAGUGCAUUGAUAUUUGUUCCUGCAGAAAGUAAUGGCAUAUCGCAAGAAGCUAUUACCCAGUAUGAACCGCCGUGCUCUGGAGUCCACAGUGGCUGCAGCCUGGAAAGUUUCUUGUAGCCACAGGACAUCUGGUGUAUCUCAUAGCAUACAGCUCCACCCAUCAGACUUCCGGUGGGGAGGGGUGUGGGUGCCCAGCAUGAGGAAAUGCUCACUAGUUCUUACGUUUCACUUAAAAAUGAUACGUGCCAUAUUAAGUCACAUUUCACUGGCUCCAGGAAGUCACUCUGCUGCCCCUGACUUCAAGAUAGUUGAGAAGUGAGAUCCAAUCCUGUGUCCAGAAGUGAACAUUUGAAAACAGUGUUGCUGCCGAUUUCAGGCACAGAACGAGAACUUGGGACCUACAAAAUGGCACCACUGAAAGAUCCGUAACACAACCAGAGCUGAAAUGCCUCUUGCUCACCACAUUGUGAGUGACAAGAAAGAGAGAAGAGAGGAGAAAAGAGCUGUGGCCCAGAUCUAGGAGACACGUCUGUGACACCCUCUUUGGAGCGCUGUAGUUUCUGGCAUCUUCAAGCUUCCAGGUGUUCCACCGCAUUCCCUGGUGCCCUCUGUGGAAGCUGCUUGCAGUGCACCUGUUUCAGCUACAGGCUCAGAGGGCACCAGUGCCCUUGCUGGUGCCUGGAGCUGCCUGCCCUGCUGCAGCCAGCAUGCAAGGCUGUGCACAGUGGCUGAACCCUGUGCUUGCUCGCUCACACACCCCUCACUGCUCUGUUCCUGCUUACCCUUGGCAGGCAUGGAAUCCAGUUCAGCAGUGCGAGCCAAGCACAACCUACCAGGUCAAGUGUACAGAAUGAGUCCAGCAGGCCUGAGCAAAACUCAGGCAAAGGCACCAUGGGCCACAGAGGUUUCUGGCUGGAAAGGCAACACCCCAAGCAUCCUGCGACAAUACUACCCAAAUCAAUUUAUAGAUUAAAUGCUAUUCCUAUCAAACUACCAAUAACAUUCUUCAAAUAACUAGAAAAAAAGUAUUUUACAAUUCACAUGAAACUAAAAAUGAGACCAAAUAGACAAGGCGAUACUAAGCAAAAAGAACAAAACUGGAGGUAUUGUAUUACCUGACUUCAAACUACUAUACGGCUAGAGUAACCGAAACAGCAUGUACCGAUAGAAAAACAGACACACAGACCAAUGAAACAGAAAAGAGAGCCCAGUAAUAAUGCUGCACAUCUAUAGCCAUCUGAUCUUCAACAAAACUGACAAAAAUAAGCAAUGGAGAAUGGACUCACUAUUCAAUAAAUAGUUCUGGUAUAACUCACUAGCCAUAUGCAGAAGAUUGAGACUGAACUCCUUCCUUACACCAUAUACAAAAUCAACUCAAUAUGGGUUAAAGACUUAAAUAUGAAACCUAAAACUAUUAAAACCCUGGAAGAUAACCUAGGAAAUACCAUUUUGGACAUAGAAAUUGACAAAGAUUUAAUGAUGAAGACACCAAAAGCAAUUUCAACAAAAGCAAAAAUUGACAUGUGAGACCUAAUUAAACUAAAGAGCUUCUGGACAGCGAAAGAUACUGCCAACGGGGUAAACCGACAAUCUACAGAAUGGGAAAAAUAUUUGCAAACUAUGCAUUCAACAAAGGUCUAAUAUCCAAAAUCUAUCAGGAACUUAAAUAAAUUUACAAGCAAAAACAAACAACCCCAUUAAAAAGUGGGCAAAAGAAAUGAACAGACACUUUUCAGAAGAAGGCACACAUGUGGCCAAGAAGUAUAUGAAAAAAUCCUCAAUGUCAGAAAUGAUCUAAAUCAAAACCACAGUGAGAUACUAUCUGGCACUAGUUAGAAUGGCUAUUAUUAUAAAAUUAAAAAACAACAGAUUGGUGAGGUUGCAGAGAAAAGUGAAAAUUUAUAGACUGUUGGUGAGAGUAUAUUUAAUAAAUUAGUUCAGCCAUUGUGGAAAGCAGUGUGGCAAUCCCUCAAAGAACUAAAAACAAAAUUACCGUUUGACCCAACAAUCCCCAUUAUUGGGUAUACAGCCAAAGAAAUAUAAAUCAUUCUGUCAUAAAGAUACAUACACAUGUAUGUUCAAUGCAGCACUUUUCACAAUAGCCAAGAUAUGGAAUCAAUCUAAAUGCCCAUCAAUGGUAGAUUGGAUAAAAAAAAUAUGGUACAUAUACACCAUGGAAUAGUAUGCAGCCAUUAAAAUAGUGAGAUCACGUCCUUUCUAGCAACAGGGAUGUUCCUUAGUAAACUAAUGCAGGAACAGAAAGAUCCAAAUACCACAUGUUAUCACUUAUAAGUAGGAGCUAAAUGAUAACAUCACAUGAAUACAAAAAGCAGAACAACAGAUACUAGGCAGACUAGAGGGUGGAGGGUUGGAGGAGGGCAAGGAUCAGAAAAAUAUUGGUGCCAUGAUACCCAUUCAGUACUAUGCUCAGUACCUGUGUGACAAAAUAAUCUAUACAGCAAAACCCCAUGACAUGAGUUUACCUAUGUAACAAACCUGUACAUGUGCCCCUGUAUCUAGAAUAAAAGUUAAAAGAAAUCUAAAAAAAAGACUUUUCCUAAUCAGAAAUUUUAUUUCUUCUCCCAUGCUCCUGUGACUCCAACCUGUUUUGAGGGCCUCCAUAUACCCCUUUCUUUGUCGUUGUCAGACACAUGCAGAGGACCCAUUGAAAGUCUCUAGGAUCUAAAGAAUAACUGAGCCAUGUAAUGGAAACAGCCACUGUCUUUCUGAAAUGCAGAACUCUCAACUGAUUUUCAGUGGACAAUUGUUUUGUGAUAAACCACAACAUUUUUGCGAUAAAUCAUAAAUGUAUGGUACCUUUUUAUUACUAAUUGUAGUAACAAGCAAGUUACAUUACAAUAAACAUGAGUUAUACUACCAUAAUUAGUAUAUUUAGUGGAAGAAAGUUUAAUUACAACAAUAAAGUCCUUCAUAGAUGGAUUGGCUAGCACAAUAGACUAAAUGAAAAGAGAUAUUUUUUAUUUUUAUUUUUUGCCAUAAAGAUAAUGUCUGUGAAUAUUCAACAAAAUUUAGCACAAAAGUAGAAAUAGAUAAAAAUUAUAAAAUAAAUGCUAAUGGUUAUGAGAAAUCCCCGCUAUAGUUACAGGAAUGUAAAAUUAGUUCCAGAAAGCAAGAUAUGUGAGAAUGAAGAGGAAAAAAAUUACUGGAGAAAUUCUGAGAAAAAAAUUCAGUUCGCUAGAGUAAUAUAUAGAAUUUCAAAUGUAAAUUACUCAUCCAAUAAUAAGCAGAAUAAAUUAACUACAUUAGACUCGUCCUUGGGAAAUAUAGCAUUCCAAAGACAAGUGGAUUCUAAAUUUUUAUGAAAGAGGAACAAAAAUGAAUCAAUUUAUUUCAAAGUUUCAGUAGUUGCACUUUCACCAGAUUUCCUUUUAGUAAUACUGAGUACAACAACAAAGGCCUUCAAAGGGAUGAGAAAAAAUAAUUUUCACUCCAGAAGUGUAUUCAUUCAAAUUGCAGAAUGAGUGUCAGGAAACAAGAAAACAUUUGCAGACAUACAAGGCUGAAAGGUUUUUUGUUUAUAAUUUCUAUGAAAGAUAUGACAUCAUGUACUUAAAAAAAUGAAAAACAAGAAAGAAAUACUUGGAGAAAACUAGGAGGUAGUGAAGGGAAGUCACUGCUUGAUAGCUCUGAAAUAUACCAAGAUUCUGUGGAUGCAGAUUGGUAUCGAGAAGGGAAAUUCUCAAUAUAGAAGGUAGAUGAAUGCUGAAAAAAGUAAAAUUGAGGAAAAUUUUUUUUAAAUUAUUAGAGAUUUAAAUUAAACUAAAGUGAACUAAAACUAAAAGUAAACUAAAAUAUAACAUGGCAUUAAUUGAUUGAUGCAAGGAUUAAGAAAAUCUUUUGACCCUGAUGCUAUUACCUUUGCCUUUGAAUAACAAAAGUCAAUUUAUGAUUAACUGCUUGGCCCAAGAGAAACAAAUAUUAUGUGGAUUUAAUAAUAAAUAUAAUAAAUUUGUUUUUUUUCACCUUUGGAAUCAACUGAUAAACAAAGCUCAGAAAUCUCAAUAAUGAGUCCAGAACAUACUGAAAUAGUAAAAUCUUGAGAAUGUAAACAUAAAGACAUCACUGACGGACGGUUAUCAGUGGGAGAGCCAUAAAAGUUUAAGCAAAUAAGAAUACUAAUACCAUCACCAUACAUAGAUAGAAUCAAAAUAUUGAAGAACAUAAUAAAGGUUUAAGUAUUUAUAGUAAACAAAAACAUAAACAUUGAUAUAACAAUUUAACUUUGGGAAAAAAAGAAAGAAAUGAAAUGAAAAUCAUGUAAGUGAGCUAUGGUUUCUCACCGUGUUCAGUAAAGUCAAUCUAUAACUUCAAGAUGUAAACACAUUGUUUACUAUUAUGAAGAUAUAUAGGAGAGGGAUUUUUUUUACAAAAAAAGAUUUUAAAGAAGUUAUAUCAGGUGUAUUAAUUUAAUUAUUUUCUAUUUAGUGUAUUUAUGCAAAUAAAACACAUUAGAUAUUAACAUUUUUAUAUAAAUAUGAAUACUAUUAAUAAAAUGAAAUAUAUCUGAAAUAUUUGGAGAAGAUUUUGCACCUAACCAACAGAAGACUGGUAUCCAGAAUGCAUAAUCCAAAAGAAAAAACAAGGCUAUGAUUAUAUACAGGAAAAUUAGAUGUAGAUUUAUAAACUACAUGGAUAUAAUAACAAAUAUCUUUAAUAUUUAGUUAUAUUUAUUAACAUUAUUUAUAUAAUGUUCAAGGUUACUUGCAAAAGCAAAUAUGAACAAUAAGUAUUUUGUUUUGCUCACUCUUUUGCAAAAGUUUUAAAAUACAGAGAAACUAGGAAUUUGAUAAAAUGCUGGUGAACCAGGAAAUUUAUAUCAUUUCUACAAGGAAAUCCAUCAUUAACCAGCUGACCUUAAAACUCAAAAUGUUCAUGCAUAGUAAAUACAAUACUGAGAAACCCUUCCUAUAAAAGUACCUUCUUGUUAAACAAACAUGCAGGUUUUUAAAAAAAAUUCUUUUUUUUUUUGCUUCUAUAAACAUUUAGAAACAAUAUAAAUAUAAAUCAAUAGGAGAGGCUUCAAAUAAUAUGUCAUGAUAUAGAAUAGCAUGGAACUGUUAUAAACAGCAAAGCAGAAUGUUCCACAAAAUUUCAAAAAAAGGUUUUUU
RNAcentral lists this long non-coding RNA (5616 nucleotides) under Homo sapiens (human). RNAcentral describes it as "non-protein coding LINC02050:19". The record is from RNAcentral. Lineage: Eukaryota; Metazoa; Chordata; Mammalia; Primates; Hominidae.